RNAcentral lists this ribosomal RNA (313 nucleotides) under Campylobacter coli. Its description in RNAcentral is "partial 23S ribosomal RNA". It matches the Rfam family "Bacterial large subunit ribosomal RNA", at positions 467 to 777 of the family's 2925-position model. Lineage: Bacteria; Pseudomonadati; Campylobacterota; Epsilonproteobacteria; Campylobacterales; Campylobacteraceae. The record is from RNAcentral.
UAAAUACUAAUACCAGAUCGAUAGUGCACAAGUACCGUGAGGGAAAGGUGAAAAGAACUGAGGUGAUCAGAGUGAAAUAGAACCUGAAACCAUUUGCUUACAAUCAUUCAGAGCCCUAUGUAGCAAUACAGGGUGAUGGACUGCCUUUUGCAUAAUGAGCCUGCGAGUUGUGGUGUCUGGCAAGGUUAAGCAAACGCGAAGCCGUAGCGAAAGCGAGUCUGAAUAGGGCGCUUAGUCAGAUGCUGCAGACCCGAAACGAAGUGAUCUAUCCAUGAGCAAGUUGAAGCUAGUGUAAGAACUAGUGGAGGACUGA